UUGCCAGCGAGUCAAACCGUCUUCGACGUCUCAACCCCAUUGCGCCCUCUUCUAGUCGCCACGGAAGCCUGGCGCUCGAUUUCGAUGGACUUCAUCUUCGGUCUUCCGCCCGUUUAGACCGUCGUGAGACAGGUUAGUUUUACCCUACUGAUGAGUUCGUUGUCUAAACAGUAAUCCAACCCAGUACGAGAGGAACCGUUGGUUCAGAUAAUUGGUAACUGCGGUUAGCUGAAAAGCUAGUGCCGCCAAGCUACCAUCUGUAGGAUUAUGGCUGAACGCCUCUAAGUCAGAAUCCAUGCUGGAAUAGACGAUAAUCACCUUUCCCGAUGUGCCGCGAAUAGCGAUAGGUGUCUUCUGGACACCCAACAUCAUACAAUUGCAACGCACUCCGCUGCCUGUCAAGUACUGGCGGUGGAGAGUAGGCUGAUUUGUAAUUUCAAAUAUUGGGAAAGAUAAAUCCUUUGUAGACGACUUAACUACAGAACGGGGUGUUGUAAGCAUGAGAGUAGUCUUGUACUACGAUCUGCUGAGAUUUAGCCCUUGUUCUAUUGAUUU
Molecule: non-coding RNA, 555 nt
Filed under: Phytophthora infestans T30-4
Lineage: Eukaryota; Oomycota; Peronosporomycetes; Peronosporales; Peronosporaceae
Description: Eukaryotic large subunit ribosomal RNA
Rfam family: Eukaryotic large subunit ribosomal RNA
Source: Rfam by way of RNAcentral